UUGAACGCUGGCGGCAUGCCUUACACAUGCAAGUCGAACGGCAGCACGGAGCUUGCUCUGGUGGCGAGUGGCGAACGGGUGAGUAAUAUAUCGGAACGUACCCUAGAGUGGGGGAUAACGUAGCGAAAGUUACGCUAAUACAGCAUACGAUCUAAGGAUGAAAGUGGGGGAUCGCAAGACCUCAUGCUCGUGGAGCGGCCGAUAUCUGAUUAGCUAGUUGGUAGGGUAAAAGCCUACCAAGGCAUCGAUCAGUAGCUGGUCUGAGAGGACGACCAGCCACACUGGAACUGAGACACGGUCCAGACUCCUACGGGAGGCAGCAGUGGGGAAUUUUGGACAAUGGGCGAAAGCCUGAUCCAGCAAUGCCGCGUGAGUGAAGAAGGCCUUCGGGUUGUAAAGCUCUUUUGUCAGGGAAGAAACGGUGAGAGCUAAUAUCUCUUGCUAAUGACGGUACCUGAAGAAUAAGCACCGGCUAACUACGU
RNAcentral lists this ribosomal RNA (482 nucleotides) under uncultured bacterium. RNAcentral describes it as "bacterial SSU rRNA". It matches the Rfam family "Bacterial small subunit ribosomal RNA", at positions 30 to 506 of the family's 1533-position model. The record is from RNAcentral.